AACCACCUAAGUAGUUUGAGGCAGCACGAAAGAAGGAACAUACCUUCUUCUUAGGAGGAGCAAGAGCAAGAGCAUCGUCAUCAUCGCCGCCCUCAUCAAGCUGCAAUUUCCGUGUUUCAGUGAUCCACUCUUCCAACACAUCUUCCAUGUCGUAGGAUGCGUCUCUGAGCUGAUCCAGCCAAAGAGUAACAGCUUUGUCCUGCUUCAUUUGCCUCUGCUCUGCAUCUUACAGUACAGCUUGAAUGACUUGAAGAUUGGUAGUAAGCUUUCCCACUUCUUGUUCGACACCCGUCACAAGCCUCCACUUUUCUUUCACCUGAUCUUGAGCAAUGGAUUUCAGCUGGUCCAGGAGAGAGGAAACGAUCGCAUGAGCCAUUCAGAGGAAAGUAGGUUUUAUGUAUUCUGUGAGAAUGUUCAUUCAAGCAUGUUUGCAUUCUUCUUAUACCAUAUGAGAUAUUUAAUUUUUACCCUCGAGUCAAUGUCAAUAAUUGUACAGCGUCUGCCCUGUUUCUCUGAUUCAUAAUAAUUCAUUGUUAAUUCUGCAGAGUACACAGCGUCAGCACUUGUGAAAUUUCUUACAUUUGUAAAAUCAUGCAGCCGACCCUUGUGAACUAACUAAUUAACUAAAUUUUCUUACAUUGUCAAUAAGUUAUGAUUAUUGUGAAUUUUCCAUCCCCUAUAUAAAUUCUUAGAUUUAUUUAAAUUGUGAGUCAUAGAAGUAUAUUACCUAAAUUAUUUUAUCAGGCCAUGUUCCGAUACUAGGAGUAAGUACGGAAUUGGACUAAUUUUGUGAUUAUCUAUUUAUCUCAUAUUUGAUAAGCUUAAUUGAAUUGGAUUUAGGAACCAAAUUUAAAUUUAAUCCUAAAAUUAUGGAAUUGAUAAUCCUAAUUUACGCAUAACUUUAGUUGGGAUAAAAUUAAAGAAAAAAAGUUAUCCAUUUAUGAGACUUUAAUUUAUAUCAUUAUCGUUUAUUUAUGCUUAAUAUUUAUUUAUUUUUUUUAAUUUAUGAUUUACUUAAAAUUUAUUUUUAUUUAUUAUCUAUCAUCUGAUUAAAUUAGAACUUUACUUCUACUAACUCUUGAUAUUAAUUUUUCAUUACUUGCAUAUUUGAUAAUUUGUCAAUAAAAUUAACCAUUUAAUAAUUUAUUGCAUAAUAGAUUGUAUUAAACUUACUAAUCACUAAAAAAAUAUUUAAAAUCAUCAUGAAAAUUAAUAAUACCGUCAAUUAAUUGAUUUUAUAUACUUUUUUAAAUAUUUGAUAAAAAAUAAUUAAGUAUUUAAAUUUUUAUUUCAUUUUUUUAUUUGUUUAUUUUAUUAUGGAUACCCAAUAACUUGCAAUAUAAUUAAUUUUCUUAUUCAGACUACUCAGCAUCAGCUCCUAUAAAAUUUCUUACAUUAUAAGCAACAAAAUAUUUAUAAACUACAACAAAGGGCUUAAAUCAAUCCACCGAUUAACCUUUUGAAGUUAUAUAUAAUAUAUUAACUGUUGAUCUAGAAUAGUCUUAGUGGAUAGAUUUUUUUUAAUUAUAAAUAUCAAUAAAUUUUUUUUAUCGUUUAAUAGAUAUUGAUGAAAUUAUAUGGAGUAAUUUCGCCCAAUCAUAUAUAUUAUAACAAAAGUUGGAAAAGAGAAAAAUAAAACAAAAGUUGGAAAAAUCAUGCAGUCGUUGGGAAUUUCGAAAUUUGAGAAUUUUGCCCGUAGCUACAGGCUGCAGCGAUUUUUGACUUUCAUGAUGCAAACAAACCAAUCAUCAUUAAUUUCAAUAGAAAGAAGUAUUCUAGGUGGAAUUGAUUUCUGGAGCAGAAUAUGAUGUAUUUGGGACUUCCUACUCUAUUAGAUAGGUUAAUAACAUGUUAAUUGUCACAUCAUUAAUUUUAGAUUAUAAAUUUUAUAUUCAAACUUUGUAUGACUGCUCCUUUUUCAUUUGAAAAAAAAAAAAAAAAUUAACUUCUAGCAUGAUCUAAUUAAUUGAUCUUGUUUCAAAAGAAUCAAAAAAAUAAAUAAAAUAAAAUAAAGUAAUGCCAUAAUCUAAUUGGUCUUGUUAUUGACAUGUACUAAUGCAUUCUAUAUUUCUAACUUUGUACAUUUUAUUGAUAUGUUUCUCUUGAGAGAUAAGAAUCAUUAUGUGGCAAAAUUUUAUUAAAGCUGGGAUUAUUUAUGUUCUAAUACUUUGAACAUUAAUUUUUAAUCUACUCUUUAGAAUACAAAAAUAAUCCUUACCUAAACAUCUUUCAUAAAUGUUUUUUGCUGGGGCUGCUAAAAUUCAUAAUCUAAUAUUAGUUGAUGUGGCAUGUGUCCUAUCACAUAAAUGUAGAUAAUAAUAAUUAAUUCAUUAACAAAAUGAAAAAUGUUAGUUUACAAAAUACAAAUCCGAAUUUUUUGUGUGUUAGAGGGAAUUUAAAAGGGAGAGACUAAACAAAUGUGGUGACAAAUUACACGUAUUACCAAAAUUGAAAAUACAAAGUUUAGGCAACUGGAAACAUCUCUGUCAAUGGCAAUGAACCCAUUACCUCCAUUUAUAAUUAACCAAAAAUCAAAUAAAUUAAAAAAGAAAACACAAAGCAAGGAUAACUACUAGUUGUUUUGAUCAUCCCUGCUUCUUUUUCUUAGCAUAGCUCUUGUAAUGAAAAUUAACAAAAAGGGCCAAAAGGGAAGCAUUAAACACAGUAUUGAAGCACCAACCCCAAAACACAGGGAAACCAAAUCCCGUGAAAUGAUAAUUCAGCAUCAAAAUGAAAAAUGUUAUGGAUGGCUGUGAUGGGUCUGAGGAUGUGGGGUCCAAUGAGAGGUGAUGAUGAUGGUGAUGUUGAUGUUGAUGUGUGGUAGAGGAUGGAUGUGAGGGAGAGGUAAGUAAUGAUGGAGUGAAUGAGGAUGCGUGGGAAGGAAGCUAGGGUUUGGUUUUGAGUCCAUGUGAAGUUGAGGACUUGUGGGUGGCUUACAAGCAAUAUUGGAGUGUUAAGCUGAUUGAAUUUGAACAGUGCUACUCCAAUAACAUCAAUAUGGUUGAUGACCGCUCUAUCAAAUCCUUUGGAUAAAUGAAUUGACCGCUCUAAAAUAAAUGAAUGAGAUAGGAUAAAUUCGAAUAAAUUAAUCUGCAUAAUGACACAAGAAACAAAUAUAAAUUGACCGCAAGUAGAAAUAUACUUUUGUUAUAUUUAGAGCAUCUUCCAAUUUCUUUCCCUUGAGCUCUGUUUCUGCGAGUGCUCAAAAGCAAGACACAGGCCUCAAGAUAUAAUUAUCAUCAUCAAUCUUUUGCAGCCACAUGCAGUACUUGGAAAAUGUUUAUGGCCCUAAAUAACUGGAAAAUCAGAAAACAUUAAGAACAAGAGACUAAUCAUUUUAAUCGCAACAAAACAUGCACACUAUGAAAAUAUAAAAUUGAAUUACUUCGAAUGGAUGUGCCUCUUAACAGGAAUUGCACAAGCUAAUGAGCAAGUGAGCCUUCGAAUGAAAAUCUAAAUCCUUGCAGCCUGCGUCAUGCAGCUUCUCCCAAUGAGUAAGUGAACCUUGAACAGUUAUCACUCAGCUCAAACUAAAAUGAAAUUACUGUGGACAUGUGAAUUAAAAAUAGAUGUAAAAGUAGUUUUCUCAAAGCAAAGUCAAGAUAAGAGAUUAACUCUACUCCUUAUUUACAUUAAAAAUAACGAACAAUGGAAAACAGAGCUAGAGAAGAACUUACCUGUGCGUUGAGAUCAUGUGGGGAAUGUGAGAUAUCUUCUUAGAUUUGGUUUGGGAAACUCCAUCUUCUUCUGAAAGUUCUGACAGUUCCCUAAACCCAGGCCAAUACAAUUGCAACAGAAACUGCAUGCUUUAACCAGUAUCUGAUCAUCUCCUGUUAUUUCAAGACAAUAAUAACUUAAUUGCAACACUGCAUGCUUCAACCAAUAACCUUUUCGACUUCAACACUUCUUUUGUCCCCCACCCGAUGCCCUUUUCACAAUUCUAUGAAUCAGAUAAAUCAGCCUUCUUCACAAAACUAAAAUUUCGGUCCCCAUGUAGCAGAGUUUCUUAUUUUUCCUUUGUACACAAAUGCAGACACUUAAGCAAAUUAAGAUUUCUUACCUAAAGCAAAUUAGGAUUUCUUUUGAUCCUGCAAGUUACAAUUUCAGUCCCCAUGUAAUAGUAAAAAUUUGUACACAUAUUUAUAUAGCAAAUUAAUAUUUCAUACCUCACAAUAUUUAUCAUAACCAUCAAUCUUUAGAAACCACAUGCAGACUUGUUAAACUGUUUAUGGCCCAAAAUAACAGGAAAAUUAGAACAGAUUUUUAAGAAUGAGCGACUAAAUAUUUCAAUGGCAACUAAAAUUACACAUCUUGGAAAUCUGAAACUCAAGUACUCAGAACACUGUAAGUGCAUUGCAUAAUCUUGGGUAAAAAAUACACAGCAAUUAAACAAGCUGGGAACUUUAGUGCAAAUGCUUUUUCAUAAUCUUCAAUUGCAUAAGUCAGUUAGAAUCAAUCUUUCUUAAUCUUUCAAUUCACAUAUGAGAGCCUGAUAACACAAGGAAACACUGUAAGUGAAUUGUCAACUGUGACAAAUUUUGGGUAAAAAUUAUCAACUGUAGUUAUCUGCAUAACAUUUAGUGUCAACCCCAAAUUCCUUCCUGAUCCGUGGAAGCAUUUCAGCCCACAGACGGUUAGCUUUGUCAAUAUACGGCAACUCAGGAUUCUAUAUUUAAACUAUGAUGUUUGAUGACUUGCUGAUACAAAAGACAUUGCCCCAAGCACUUUUUUACAUUAGCUAAAAUCAAGCCAGUCACUUCCAUUUGUUGCAGUUUUAAUGCAGAAAGAAAAAAGGGGGAAAAAAAUCUGCAAGAUGCCACUUGUAAUACCGCAUGUUCGCAGGAGCAGAGUUAAAUAAUUACAAAAUUACAUUCUUUAUUGGCCACAAAGCUGCCUAGAAAAAGGCUUUAAAUUCUUAAUGAGACAACGUAUUCGAACAAAUAUGGUGAAUGAAGAGACAAAGGCAUAACACCUCGGGAAGUAAAGCUCUGUUUCUGUAUGUGCUCAAACCAAUGGAAACCCAUGGAAAUGAAUUUCUACGAAUUAGACAUGUCAGCCAAAACAGGUACUCUGUACAAGCAAAGUAAAAGAGAGUUACAAAAAAUUUUAAGAUAAUUAAACUUUUAGUCACCAUAUAAUUAAUAGAAAACUUUGUACACAAUGAUUUAUAUGAGAUUAAGAUUGUAUACCUAAGUUUUAAUUGCAAACUAAAUAUACACAACAUGAUAUUAGCAUUAGAAGACUGCACCAAAACGCACCGAAUUGAAUGUACCUCUUAACGGCCAUUGUACAUGCAUUGAAAGUUUACCGCAAAAGCUGUUUCAAACGUGAUGCAUCUUAGAGAUGCAAGAUGAGAAAUUGUUAUUACAACUAGCAUUGAAACAUGUGUGAAAACUGUUAAUGGACCUAAAUAACUUGAAAAUCAGAAAAGAUUAGGAAUGAGUGACUAAGCCUGCUAAUCGCAACUAAACGUGCAAACCUUGAAAAUCCAAAAUUGUACUCGAUGAAUGUGCAAUUGCUCAAGCAGGUAAAUUUCCUGCAAAGGCUCUUACAAACCCUCAAAGAUGAUACUCUACAUACCAUGGUAACCUGAGUAACAAAAAGAAACACAGUGAAUAUUAAAGGGCAUUCUGACAAUGCAAAUUUGUGUAAAUUAACAACUGCGGUUACCUGCAUAAUAGUGUCAAUACCGAAUUCCUUCCUCCAUGGAAGCAUGUGAUCAGCCCACAUGUGCUUUGCUCUGUAGCUUUUGAAUACCUGAAAUUGUUAUCACAACCAACGGUGAAAAAUGGGUGAAAAAAGGGUAAUAGUAGCAUAAUUGAAUUUGCUUAUAGAGGAUAAACCGAUCAAAGAAAAAAACAAGACAGAAAUGAUGAUCUUAGUACCUUAAUAUCAUGCAAUAAUAAUCAUCAUGCCUUCUAGGCAGCUAUCCAUCCUCAAUUGAAACAGAGCAGACCUGGCCAUCACUUUCUUCUUCAAAGUCCAGCAACUGAACGUUGCACACAACACCACAGUGGAAGUUCCAUCACCAGCCUAAUCCUUGAUUACCCCAAUGUUCUCCAUAGGGUCUUCAAAGUCAACCUAAAAAUAAAAUGAAAAUGCAAUGCAUUAUUAUUAGGGAUCUAGUGCUUGAGCUUGCUUUGACAUCAUGGUAUUAGCAAAUUCUGAUAUAGCCAAAAUGGUGAAUAAGAUGACGUACUUGAUAAGAAAAACCUGAUUUAACAAAUAAUUAAGGAGCCGGUAACAAUCACAGAAUCUCAUCAUGUGGGGAACGCCUUGGCAACAGAAGAUGGUGCUUUCAUUCAAGCAAUAGCAACUUUCCAAUUUCAUAAGGUAGUUUAAUGGCCCUUUUAAGAACAUCUGCACCAGCCUAAUAAUUAUUCAUGGAAAUUAAUAAUCAGAAUCAUGUUAGAUUGAGAGAUGAAACAUAAUAAGCGAUUUGGCCACCAUAUAUGCAUUUAUCACCUUCAAUUUGCUCAUCUUUGUCUAGAGUAUUGCUUCUGCAUUAACUUAAUUAGCUUGCAAGCCACCUGAACAUGGUUUUAAAUAAAGUGUAAGAGCUCGAAUUCGAACGAAUUAAUCAAAUAUGCUGACAGGAGAAACAAAAGUAAAUAACCACAAGAAGUAGAAAUAUACUUUUGUUAUAUUCAGAGCAUCUUCUUGCGUCAAGUUCUUUUCCUUUAGCUCUGUUUCUGUUUGUGCUCAAACGCAAUGGCUCAAGGGCCAAGAUAAUUUUAUGACCAUCAAUCUUUUUGCAGCCACAGCAGACUUGAAAAAAUGAUUGUGGCCCUAAGGAACUUGAAAAUUAGAAAAGAUUCAGAAUGAGUGACUAAAUAUUAUAAUUGAAACUAACUAAACAUUAUAAUCGAAACUAAUUAAACGCCUAGAAAAUCUGAAACUGAGCAAUUGCUUCUGGUGGAAACUUUACUGCAAGGACUUUCUCAAACCCUUGAAGAUCACACUCUACCUGAUAACAAAGAAACAGUCAAUAUACGAAGAUGAUUUUACUAACAAGUGAGUGCUUACACAUAUUGGAAGGAUAAUGAUGAUUCAUAACCCAAAUCCCCAAUACUCCCUAUUAUCUCACUCAAGUUCGAGCUCCCAGAAUUCACUACUGUGAAGCUCUCACAACAAAAUUCCCUUCAAAGAUUCUCUACUCAAAUUUGAUGAUGAUGUCCCUCCAAAGGAGGCAAAAAAUCUAACACUGAUCAAAUUGGUUUGUGAACAAUUAAUCUUCCUGGCCAUCAUGCAUACCAGGUGUGGUGAGCAAUCUUCAUUAUGACAUUUGCCUUAAUAAGCAGCUUAGUUUCCUUAACCUGAUAACUUACACAAACAAAAACAACUUGAUUAAAGUUUAAUAUUUAGAGGCAGAACAGUAAAGAAGAUGAUAUAUAUUGAUACUAAAAUUUGACCUGUGUUAUCCUGACGUCAAGAAUCACAGCAUCUCAUGUGGGCAGAAUCUUCGCAGUACAAUAUGCUUGCAAAAUUGAAGCAGCAUCUUAUCACCUGUAAUUUAAUUAAGACAAUAACUUUCCCCAACCAUUUCAAUGCAUUAUUGCCAACUAAAUUCAGAGGGUGCUAAUUAAAUAGCCUUUGAACAAUAUAUUCUUAUUCUUCUCCAAUCUAACAAUUAUUUCGAAAAUCUAAAUGACAAUCACGCAUCGAUGGCAUCAAAAUUUGGCUACAAAGCAGCCUGGAAAAGGCUUUACUCUCUGAAUGAGAGCAUGAAUUCGAAACAAAUAUGAUGAAUGAAGAAAAUAAGGCAUAAUACCACCAAAAGUAAAACUUUCUCCCAGGGCUCUAUGUUUCUGUUUGUGCUAAAACCAAUAGAAACCGAUGGAAAUGAAUUUCUAGGAAUUAGACAUAUCAGCGAAAACAGGUAUUCUGUACAAGCAAAGUAAAAUAGGGUUACCAAAAUUUUUAAGAUUGAUAUGAUACUUGAAAAAUAGGUUUGCACAGAAUUAAUUAUUCUGUCAUUGAGAUUGUUCUUUUAUAGAGAUUUCCAGCGCACAUAAAACUAUUAAAUCAGUAAACUAAAUCACUGAUUUAAGGAAAGAAUAAUUUCUAGGUAGAUUUUCCUAAAAUACAUAGAUUUGCACCUAAAUAGCUAUGUUACAGCUAAUGACUAAUUUACAGCACAUAUUUUUUCUAAUUUUCUAACACUCCCCCUCGAGCUGGUUUGAAGAUAUCCUCCAUAGCCAGCUUGCCAACUAGAAAAUUGAACUGUUUUGUGUGUAGUCCUUUGGUAAAGACAUCAGCCACUUGUUCUCCAGUAGGAAUGUGCUCCAUAUGAACCAAUCCAUUAUCUAUCUUCUCCUUGAUGAAAUGCUUGUCAAUCUCCACAUGUUUUGUGCGGUCAUGAAGGACUGGAUUGUGUGCUAUUGAGAUUGCUGCCUUGUUGUCACAGUACAACUACAUAGGAGAUGAUUUUGUCGCUUUUAACUCUUCCAACAGCCUCCUAAUCCACAUGAUCUCACAAAUGCCAUGGGUUACAGCUCUAAAUUCAGCCUCAGCACUGCUCCUAGCUACCACAUUCUGUUUCUUGCUUCUCCAAGUAACCAAAUUACCACCUACAAAUGAACAGUAUCCAGAAGUGGAUCUUCGGUCUACUUUGCAGGUAAAUUUACUGCAAAGGCUCUUACAAGCCCUCAAAGAUGAUAUUCUACAUACCAUGGUAACCUGACUAACAAAAAGAAACACAGUGAAUAUUAAAGGGCAUUCUGACAAUGCAAAUUUGUGCAAAUUAACAACUGCGGUUACCUGCAUAAUAGUGUCAAUACCGAGUUCCUUCCUCCAUGGAAGCAUAUGAUCAGCCCACAUGUGCUUUGCUCUGUAGCUUUUGAGUACCUGAAAUUGUUAUUACAACCAGCGGUGAAAAUUGGGUGAAAAAAUGGUAAUAUUAGCAUAAUUGAAUUUGCUUAUAGAGGAUAAACCGAUCAAAGAAAACGACAAGAUAGAAAUGAUUAUCUUAGUACCUUAAUAUCAUGCAAUAAAAAUCAUCAUGCCUUCCAGGCAGCUAUCCAUCCUCAAUUGAAACAGAGCAGACCUGGCCAUCACUUUCUUCUUCAAAGUCCAGCAACUGAACGUUGCACACAACACCACAGUGGAAGUAGUUCCAUCACCAGCCUAAUCCUUGAUUACCCCAAUGUUCUCCAUAGGGUCUUCAAAGUCAACCUAAAAAUAAAAUGAAAAUGCAAUGCAUUAUUAUUAGGGAUCUAGUGCUUGAGCUUGCUUUGACAUCAUGGUAUUAGCAAAUUCUGAUAUAGCCAAAAUGGUGAAUAAGAUGAUGUACUUGAUAAGAAAAACCUGAUUUAACAAAUAAUUAAGAAGCCGGUAACAAUCACAUAAUCUCAUCAUGUGGGGAAUGCCUUGGCAACAGAAGAUGGUGCUUUCAUUCAAGCAAUAGCAACUUUCCAAUUUCAUAAGGUAGUUUAAUGGCCCUUUUAAGAACAUCUGUACCAGCCUAACAAUUAUUCAUGGAAAUUAAAAUUCAGAAUCAUAUUAGAUUGAGAGAUGAAAUAUAAUAAGCGAUUUGGCCACCAUAUAUGCAUUUAUCACCUUCAAUUUGCUCAUCUUUGUCUGGAGUAUUGCUUCUGCAUUAACUUAAUUAGCUUGCAAGCCACCUACAAAUGGUUUUAAAUAAUGUGUGAGAGUGUGAAUUCGAACGAAUUAAUCAAAUAUGCUGACAGGAGAAACAAAAGUAAAUAACCACAAGAAGUAGAAAUAUACUUUUGUUAUAUUCAGAGCAUCUUCUUGCGUCAAGUUCUUUUCCUUUAGCUCUGUUUCUGUUUGUGCUCAAACGGAAUGGCUCAAGGGUCAAGAUAAUUUUAUGACCAUCAAUCUUUUUGCAGCCACAUGCAGACUUGAAAAACUGGUCGUGGCACUAAGGAACUUGAAAAUUAGAAAAGAUUCAGAAUGAGUGACUAAAUAUUAUAAUCGAAACUAAUUAAACAUACACGCCUAGAAAAUCUGAAACUGAACUUCUCAAAUGUAUAUGCCUCUUCGCAGCAAUUGCUUGUGGUGGAAACUUUACCGCAAGGACUUUCUCAAACCCUUGAAGAUCACACUCUACCUGAUAACAAAGAAACAUAGUCAAUAUACGAAGAUGAUUUUACUAACAAGUGAGUGCUUACACAUAUUGGAAGGAUAAUGAUUACUCAUAACCCAAAUCCCCAACACUCCCUAAUAUCUCACUCAAGUGAGUACGAGCUCCCAGAAUUCACUACUGUGAAACUCUUACAACAAAAUUCCCUUUAAAGAUUCUCUACUCAAAUUUGAUGAUGAUGUCCCUCGAAAGGAGGCAAAAAAUCUAACACUGAUCAAAUUGGCUUGUGAACAAUUAAUCUUCCUGGCGAUCAUGCAUACCAGGUGUGGUGAGCAAUCUUCAUUCUGACAUUUGCCUUAAUAAGCGGCUUAGUAUCCUUAACCUGAUAACUUACACAAACAAAAACAACUUGAUUAAAGUAUAAUAUUUAGAGGCAGAACAGUAAAGAAGAUGAUAUAUAUUGGUACUAAAAUUUGACCUGUGUUAUCCUGACGUCAAGAAUCACAGCAUCUCAUGUGGGCAGAAUAUUCGCAGUACAAGAUGCUUGCAAAAUUGAAGCAGCAUCUUAUCACCUGUAAUUUAAUUAAGACAAUAACUUUCCCCAACCAUUUCAAUGCAUUAUUGGCAACUAAAUUCAGAGGGUGCUAAUUAAAUAGCCUUUGAACAAUAUAUUCUAAUUCUUCUCCAAUCUAACAAUUAUUUGGAAAAUCUGAAUGACAAUCAUGCAUCGACGACAUCAAAAUUUGGCUACAAAGCAGCCUGGAAAAGGCUUUACUCUCUGAAUGAGAGCAUGAAUUCGAAACAAAUAUCAUGAAUGAAGAAACAAAGGCAUAAUACCACAAAAAGUAAAACUUUUCCCAGGGCUAUCUGUUUCUGUUUGAACUAAAACCAAUGGAAACCGAUGGAAAUGAAUUUCUAGGAAUUAGACAUAUCAGCCAAAACAGGUACUCUGUACAAGCAAAGUAAAAUAGGGUUACAAAAAAUUUUAAGAUUGAUAUGAUAAUUAAAAUUUCAGUCACCAUAUAAUUAAUAGAAAACUUUGGACACAAUGAUUUAUUGCAUAUUAAGAUUGCUAUAUAAAAUAUAAUAUUAGCAUUAGGAGACCGCACCGAAGCAUACCGAAUUGAAUGUGCCUUUUCACAGCCAUUUUACAAGCUUUGAAGCUUCACCACAAAUGCUUUUUCCAACCCGUGAACAUGGUGCACCCGAGAGAUGCAAGCUAUGAAAUUGUUACUACAGCAAGCGUUGGAACAUUUGUUAAAAAAGGAAGUUUAUGAAAAUACGCCUUUGGAUACCAGUCUUCAGGAAUCAAUUCAUCCGUAAUAACAAUUUUCAAGAAUUAUCAACUGCUUUAAGCUCAUCGACAUCACAAAGAUCUCAACUAAAAUAGAGCAGAUCCGGCCAUCACUAUCCCUUCUACUGCUCUUUUCCUUUAGAGAAUGAUUGAAUUACAGAAUGCGUGUAAGGCAUUCUUAUUCAAGGUCCAAUGAUCAAACCUUGCACUAUAACAACAGAGGUAGUAGUUUCUUCGCCAGCCUAAUCCUUGGUCUCAGGAAUGUCCUCAACAGAGUACUCGAAAUCAACCUAAAAAUUAAGAAUGAGUUGGAAAACUGUUUAUGGCCCUAAAGAACUUGAAAAUAAGAAAAGAUUAAGAAUGAGUGACUAAACAUUUAAUCGCAACUAAACAUACAAACCUUGAAAAUCUAACUUUGAAGUACUCUUGAAUGAAUGAGCAGUUGCACGAGCUGGUGACAACUAAGGUUACUGUGAAGUCUCUUACAAAUCCUUAAAGAUGAUACUUUACAUACCACGAUAACCUGAUAACACAUAGGAACACAAUAAACAUUAAAGUGUAUUCUGACAAUGCAAAUUUGUGGAAAUCAUCAGCUGUGGUUACCUGGACAAUAUUGCCAACACCAAACUCCUUCCUCAAUUGAAACAUAUGAUCAGCCCACAAAUGCUUUGCUUUGUAGCUUUUGAGAGCCUGAAAUUGUUAUCACAACCAACAAUGAAAAUUGGGUGAAAAAAUUGAUAAUAUUAGCUUAAUUCCAUAUGUUUAUAUAGGAUAAACCGAUCAAAGAAUGAAAAAAGAUAGAAACAGAGCAGACCCAGCCAUCACUUUCUUCUUCAAAGUCGCACCAUAACCACAGUGGUAGUCGUUCCACUGCCAGCCUAAUCCUUGGUCACCCCAAUGUUCUCCAUGAAGUAUUCAAAGUCAACCUAAAAAUAAAUAAAAAUGCAAUGCAGGUGGAAAUGAAAAUUCUAUAAAUUAAAUAAAAUAAAAAUGCAAUGCUUGAGCUUGAGCUUGCUUUAGCAUCAUCGUAAUAGUAAAUUUUGAUAUAUCUUUACUUCUCUGUUCUUGUUUAUUCACAACAAGAUAUCAAUAGAAGAAGAUGGAAAUGAAAUUCUAUAAAAUAAAGCAAGUGAAUUACCAACAGAACAUUUUAGCAAUCCUUUGGCUAAACUUUUCAUUUUCUUAGCAUACUCUCCUGCCUGGUGAACAUAAUUAAACAAGUAUGAAAUAAAACAAAGUGGGCUAAUGUAGUAAAAACAAUAACACAAUUACUUUAAAGAAUUAAUGUCACGUAUAUUAUAUAUAAAAAAAUACGAUUAUCAUUAUAUAAGAUAAAAUUGAUAAUUUAGUUUUCAACAUUACUGCAAACGUAUCACAGAGAUUUUGUUACACAUAACAAAUUUUCGUACAUAUGAAAAUAAAUUACAUUGCAUGAAAUUUUACAAAAGAGCACAUAUUUUUUAAAAGUAAAUAAAUAUAGAAAUUUCAACAGACUACACUUGUAUUUUUUUUUAAUUAUUUAAUCUUUAGAAAACAAGUUUAACAGAUUUGAUAACUAGGAAGUUUUACGUAUUUAUACCAUGAUUGAUUCUAUAUAGAAUUUUAAUUCAAAAUAUAAUUAUUUUUAUUAAUUUCAUUGCAAGCAACAACGAAGUAAAUUAGAGGAGGAGGAGAAAUUACCGGCGAGUGAUAAAUUACCGCGACCACUUGAUGUGGGGAAUGCGAGAUAUCUUAUGCCAGUCUUCUCCUUUCCCCUCUCUAUAACGGUUUUCCAGAAGAGGACAUCUGUCAAUAGUCAAUUCCUGCAGCGUCGUCGUCCGAAGAAGGUAAUCCGGCAGCACCUUUAAUUUGGGGCAAUACUCAAUUACCAAGGAAGAAAGACGUGGUAUGUCUGUUGUCCUGUGAUCUUCUAGAAUGGGCAGUUCUUCCAUAUUUGCACAAAAAGAAAUCCUCAGUUUCUGCAGUGCCGUCGUUCGAAGAAGGUAAUCCGGCAGCGCCUUCAAUUUGUUGCAAGAACGAACUUCCAAGGAAGAAAGACGGGGCAUGAUAGAGAUGUUUUCCUUCCUCGUAAUCCUGUAAUUCCACUCUUCCAAUUCUUCCAUGUCCCAAAUUAUGAGUGAUUUCAAUUUGGGGAAGGCAGUAACUGAUGAUGAUGAUGAAGAUGAAGACGGGCCAUCCUCACUGCUUUCUUCUAUUCCCAAAAACUCAUUACCCACUCUUUUUACACUUUUCAAGUACCAUAGUUCGAGUUUUUCCAGAGGCAAUUUUCCCAAAGGAGGCAAAUGCUCACACUUAAGGCACGAGCGAAGAUAUAAAUUCCUUAGAUUGGUCAGUGAAGUCAACCAUUUGGGAAAAAUGUUGCGUCCAUAUAAUAUAAUCCCUAAUUUCUCUACACUCAAAGGCGGUUGUAAGGCUUUAAGAAGUUGUUCAUCUUUCUCUUUCUUCCUCCUCCUUUCUUCAUCUUCCCCAUCUACGACUCUACCAAACUCAAGACGCAAACGAAGGAGGUUUUGCUGAUUGUAAAGUUGUAAUCUCUCGACCUCAUCUAAACGGGACACAUUACCCAGCCCUUCAAUUCCACAUUCUCGAAGGAGUUGAAGAUUUUUCAGAGAUUCAAGCCUACAAGUAUUGCUACCAUCAACACCUCCACCCACCACAAACUUGUCUAAUGUUCGAAGACUGGUUAAUUUGGAAAUCCCUACUGGCAUGUAUUUCAACGAAUAAGUUUCAGCAUUCAGUAAACUCCUCAUGUUCUUUAACUUCCCAAUCCCCGCUGGCAAUUCUUUAAGAUUUCGGCACCGCCUAAUAUCUAGCUUUUGUAAAUUAUAUAAUUCACACAAAGUCUUAGGUAGUCUCUCUAUGCCUAAUUCAGACAAAUUAAGAUAUCUUAAAUGUAUCAAUUUUCCGACAUUUUUUGGAAUUUCUCUAAUCAAACUUGAGUGAAGACGAACAGGCGAGGAUGAUAGCCUUAUAACUAAUGAUUCCCUUAUAACUAAUGCCCUCAAACAUGCCAAUUUACUAAAUAACUUUCGAGUUUCUCUAAUCUUAUAUGUGUUUGGACAAAAACAUAGGCGCAACAGCCUUAUAACUAAUGCCCUUAAACAUUCUUUGCUACUACUAAAAGACGAAAGGAUGCUACUAAGAGACAGAUUGAAAUCACUUCUAUCAUAAAUUAAAAGGGUACGCAAUCUAUCAAGUCCACGAAUGGAUAUAGGAAAUGAAGUGCCUCUUUGAAAAUUUAACCCUAAGUGACGGACUUUGUCACCAAAAGAGUUUAUGACUGAGUCUUUGGUACCAUUAAUUUCUACCCACAAACAUUCUUUUCUACUUACAAAUUGGGCAAAAUCAUGUAUUAUGUCAUGCAUCUUGCAGCUCAUAAUAUCAUCAUCAUCAUCUUUUUUAAACUCUUGAAAGAAAGAGCGUGCUGCUAAAAUGUUGAAAUACUCUUCCCCAAUCAUCUCCAUCUCUUCGUCUUCUUCUGUAUUAAGAUAACCUUGAGCCAUCCAUAGUGAAAUUAGUUCCUCUUUAUUCAUAUUGUAGUUUUUUGGAAAGACAGCACAAUAUGAGAAACAUUGUUUUACCAUAGAAUUGGAGGGCAAAUCGUUAUAACUCAACAACAAAGGAGCUAAAAGACCUUGCCCAAUUGCUUCUACUUUCCACAUUUCACUCUCUAAAAUUCUUUGCCACUCUUUUACUGUACUUUUAGAGCGCAAGAGAUUCCCUAUUACCUUUGCAGCAAGAGGCAGGCCUUUGCACUUAUGUGCAAUUUUGCGCCCGAUUGGUUCUAAUUUUUCACGAUCCUCAAAGGACCUACGUAGAAAUGCCAUCUGCUUAAACAGUAACCAACAUUCCCCUUCUCCCAACUCCUUGACAGGGAUAAUAUCUAUUGAUCCCAACUGUAGUGCAACUGACCUAUCACGUGUGGUAAUUAGAAUUUUACUUUCAUGGUGGCCAUUCUUUAGACAAGAAAAGAAUGGGUCCCAUUUUUUGUAAUCUACAUCCCACACAUCAUCUAAAACAAGAAAAAACUUUUUUCCUUCAAUUGAUGUAUGGAUAUGGCUCAUAAGAGAUUGGAAUUCGCUUAAAUCAUAAGCUUCUUUUGACUUGCCUAGACCUUCAAUGAUUGCUUUGGCAACCCUAAUCCUCUCAAAAGUGUCUGAUACACACACCCAUAUAACUUUUUCAAAAUUUCUUUUCACCUCAUCAUUAUUAUAGGCCAGUUGUGCAAGAGUGGUUUUACCUAUACCCCCUAACCCAACUAGUGAGAUGAUAUGAAGGCCUUCUUGUUGUUCACUACUUUGACACAACAACUUGCUUAAGAGCUCAUCUUUCUCAUUAACUCUACCGCAAACCUCUCCCUCAUCAAUCAAGGAGGUGGUUCGCACUCGCUCUGGUUUCUUGACAUUGUUACUCACAUUCUCAACAAAUUUAAACAUAUCUUUUCGAGUGGCAAUACCAUCUAGCUUUUCAUUGAUUUCCCUAAUCUUGACAGCAAUGUCAUGACGAAGACUGAGUUGUUUGAAACUGCCACAGCAGUUUGAUACAGCACAAAAGAAGGAACGUACCUUCUUCUUAUGAACGCCCUCAAUCUGCAAUUUGAGCCUUGCAGUGGUCCACUCCUCCAACACAUCUUCCAUGUCGUAAGAUGCGUCUUUGAGCUGAUCCAGCCAAAAAGUAACAUCUUUCUCGUGCUGCAUUUGCCUUUUCUCUGCAUCUUCCAGCACAAGUUGAAUGGCUUGUAGAUUGCUGGUGAGCUUUUUCACUUCUUCGUCGACACCAGUAACAAGCCUCACCUGUUGUUUCAGUUCAUCAGUUGCAACUGAGCUCAGCUGCUCCAGGAGAGAGGAAACGAUCGCAUCAACCAUUCUGACAAAGAAGAUGAGAAUUCUGAAGAGUUAUUAGAUGUGCUUUUGUUGCGAAGAUAUGAAAGAAAGGAGUUAUUGCAUUCUUUUAUACUGCAUAGAAAAGGUUUAUGCUUAUCCCCACCCCACACGUCAAUGAUUGUAGAAUGUUUAAUUUCCCUGAUUCUACUCCACUAGUUGUGAUGCGUAAUUAUAAAUAUUCUCAAGUUAUGUAUGAAAAUCCCACAAAUUUGGAUCUAGUAAUGAUUUUUAUGUAUUUUUUCAUAAUCUUCUAAAAUACUAUAUCUGCAUGUUAUUUCGUGCAGAAAUAUGGCAUUGGGUGAAAAAAGUUAUGCUUAUCCCCACCCACACGUUAGUAAUUGUAGUAGCAUCUGUAAUUUCCAUGAUUCUACUCCACGGACGAACACAUUUUUUGUACUAACAUCUUUAAAUUCCCACACGUUAGGAAUUUGGCACAUAAUCUCAAACUCGUCGCAUCUUUAACGUAUGAGGUUGAUGAAUAAAUUCUUUUCUCAUAUCAAUUUAAAACUCCGAGAUUAUGUGCCAAAUUCCUAACGUGUGGGAAUUUUACCUCCUAAGUAAUCCGGCCCACUGCCAAGUGCCAACUUUUUCUCUGUCGAGUUAAUGAUGUUGUUUUGUUUUCCUUGUUUUAAUUAAUGUUGCGGAGAGAAACAGAUCGAUGCAAAUGGCUAGCCAGGUUUUGCAGAAACCGUGAAUGGUCUUGCAUGCAUGUGACAUAAAGCUUUAUAUAUAGCUUAUUCCUCCAUCAACAUUUCAAUGGUUCCAUCUCACGUGCACUUGGCUAUGAAUAAGGUCCAUGCAUGGAUCGAUCGAUUUAGGAGUUUGGACCAUCUCAUGCUGCAGAGUUAUGUGUCAUGUAUGUGUGUUGACACUUGCCAGUUCAUUUUUGUUAUAAAGAUUAUUGAUACUCGUAAAUGUACUACUUACAAAUCAUAAAUUUUGAGUUUGACACUUUAGUUUCAUUUUGUAAUCCCUACGCUCUUUAAAUAUUUGUAAUAAUAUAUUUCAAACUUUAACUCAGACGUAAUGAAUGAAGGGGGAUCCUCUUCUUAUAUAAAUUUUUAUUUUUUAACGUUCAAGUUACAUUUGAUUACGUGUACUUAUUAUCUAGUUUUGACUAUCUAAUGACAUUUGAUUACGUGUACUUAUUAUAUGAUUUUUUUUUAAAUGAUGGGUCUGGUGAGAUUUUUUACAUCUUGGAUUAGUAGGUCAAGAACGGGCAGGGCAGGGCCUUCUCUGAAGUCAAUCUUGUGAGCAACACCAGCUUUUUGGAUAAUUGGCAGCCCCAAUUCAUAAUUUUCUCAGUUGAUGUCCAUGGCCAAAAUCUGCAACCGAAGCUUAUUCUACUCUUAUUAAUCGAGAGAUAAUUUUAUCUCUAACUAAUUUAAUUGGGAGGAAAAUUGAGAGAGAUAUCCACUCUGUCCUUAUUAAUUGAGAGAUAAUUUUACCCUUACCCAAUUUAAUUGGAAAGGAAAUCGAAUUCCAACAAUAACUAGGACUUGAAUCCAUGCACUUAAGCUAACUUUAAGUUUUAGGAUGCAUGGUUAUAAUGUUCUUUAUUUAAAUCCUAACAAAUGGUGGGACUUGAACUUGUGCCUACAAACAUUGAGUGCUUAGGGGCUGCAAAAUUUCAUAACUUAAUUUUAGUUGAUGUGGUAUGUGCCCUAUCACAUAAAUAUGUAGAUAAUAAUAAUUAAUACAUUAACAAAAUGAAAAAUAUUAGUUUACAAAAUACAAAUCCAAAUUUUUUGUGUGACAAGGGACUUAAAAGGGAGAGACUAAACAAAUGUGGUGAAAACGACAUGUAUUACUAAAACUAAAAAUACGAAGUCUAGGCAAUUGAAAACAUCGGGUUUUUUAUUUAAAUAUCCCCAAUUUGUCCUUAAAUACCAAAUUUAUACCCUAUUAUAUACAUAUACCUCACGAAGAUAGGGAAAAUAAAAAAUAACCUUAAAAAAAUCAAGAAUCCACACAUUUCUUCCUCUCAGUGCAGGAAGAUGUCGAGUACGAAGUCGGGUAAGUCGAGAAUUUAGUCGAGCAAGAAUUGGAGAUAAGUAAGUUGAGUAUAUGGUCCAGUAGGAAGUUGAGUAAGCAUAUUAAAUGAGUCCAGUAUUAAGUGGUAGAGUAUUAAGUAAAAGUCAAGUAAAUUUUUUAAACAAGUCAAAUAAAAUUUAUGUAAUUUUUAAAGAGGUUGAGUAUUAAGUCGGGUUAGUACAUUGGGUCGAGUGUUAAUAUUUUUAAAGAAGUGAAGUCUGGUAAGUUGAGCAUUCAGUCGAGUAAGAAGUUAAGGCAAUUGAAUAAGUCGAGUCUCUAGUCGAGUACGAAGUCGGGUAUAAAGUCUGGUAAGUUGAGCAUUCAGUCGAGUAAGAAGUGAAGGCAAUUGAAUAAGUCGAGUGUCUAGUCGAGUACGAAGUUGGGUAUGAAAUCUGGUAAGUUGAGCAUUCAGUCGAGUGAGAAGUGAAGGCAAUUGAAUAAGUCAAGUAUCUAGUCGAGUACGAAGUCGGGUAUGAAGUAUGGUAAGUUGAGCAUUCAGUUGAGUAAGAAGUGAAGGCAAUUGAAUAAGUCGAGUACGAAGUCGGGUAUGAAAUAUGGUAAGUUGAGCAUUCAGUCGAGUGAGAAGUUAAGGCAAUUGAAUAAGUCGAGUAUCUAGUUGAGUACGAAGUCGGGUAUGAAGUUUGGUAAGUUAAGCAUUUAAUCGAGUAAGAAGUGAAGGUAAUUGAAUAAGUCGAGUAUCUAGUUGAUUACGAAGUCGGAUCUGAAGUCUAGUAAGUUGAACAUUCAGUUGAGUAAGAAGUGAAAACAAUUGAAUAAGUCGAAUAUCUAGUCGAGUAAAAAGUCGAGUAAGUAGAUUGAAUGAGUAGGGUAUUAAUUUUUUGUUGGCAUUUUAUUGAGGCUAUUUUUGUACUUUCUUUGGUUUUUUAAGUAUGUAUAUGCAAAGUACAGAUUUUAAUAGAUGGAUGUAUAUUUUGGGUAUUACGAGAGAAACGGGGUAUAUCCCACGCAAUUCCUUCGAAAACAUCUCUGUCAAUUGCAAUGAACAGAUCACAACCCUUCAUAAUUAAACAAAAUCAAACUUGAAAAAAAAAAUCACACACACACACACAAAACAAUCACAAAAACUAUUUGUUCUGAUCAUCCCUGCUUUUUUUUAGCGUAGCUCUUGGAAUGAAAAUUAACAAAAAGUGUCAAAAGAGAAGCAUUAAACACAGCAUUGAAGCACCAGCCCAAAAUCCCAGAGCAACCAAAUCCCGUAAAAUGAUAAUACAGCAUCAAAACCGAAACAACAAAACUAAACACAAACUGAACAAUCUAACAAUCAGUGACCAAUCUCUUCCACUUUGGCCGCAACCCCAUCACACACAAUAGAUAGUACCCGUACAUGAUCACAUGCACACUUGCAUUAGUCACAAGUGCAAUAGGAAACAAAGACUGCUUCGUCUGUAACCAAAGGUAGCACAUUACGACGACGGUUGCAUGGUGGUAGACGUGGAGGAACGUGAGCCAUUGGAUGGAUUUUGACAAAAUGAUCAAAAGGGUGUCUAAGAAUUCGAGUAUUUUGGAGAGGUAGAAGAGGUAAGCGUAGAAGAAGAGGGGGCCAGACGGAGAAAUGGUGGGGGGGAAACAGAGGGUGUAAUGGAGGUGGGGCAAAUGGACGAUGAUGGAGAGAGUGCAGCCAACGGCCAUGAUGAGGGAGAGGAGGAGGAGGGUGAGGUUAUGGACGGCUGUGAUGGGCUUGAGGAUGUGGGGUCCAAUGAGAGGUGAUGAUGAUGGUGAUGUUGAUGUUGAUAUGUGGUAGAGGAUGAAUGUGAGGGAGAGGUAAGUGAGGAUGGAGAGAAUGAGGAAGUGUGGGGAAGAAGCUAGUGUUUGGUUCUGAGUCCAUGUGAAGCUGAGGAUUUGGGGGUGGUUUACAAGACAAUAUUGGAGUGUUGAGGUGAUUGAAUUUGAAGCCAUGGCUAGUUUUUGGGGGAAGAAAGAUUUUGGAAGAGAUGAUGUUGAGAUGAACGGGGGAGUUUAUAAAGUUUUGGGAUAAUGUGGAGGGUAUUUUGGACAUAUUGUUGUCUCAGCUUAAAUUUUGGGAAAAAGAUGAUCAAUAAGAAGCUCUUUUUUUCAUAUCAAUUUAAAACUCCGACGGUGUUUCCAAAAAUUGUUUUUCUUUUUCCGUUUUUUAAUUUUAAAUCAUAAAUUUAGUAAAAGAAGUUGAAUCAAGUGAUCACUUUUUUUUUAAUGUAAAACAAUUAAUUUCUUUUGUGAUUUAAGCAAAUAUUGAGUUGCAUACUUUAAAUAUAUUAAUAUUUGAUUCGAAAUUUCAUCUACCGAAACUACAAAAAUUAAUAUUUUCUAUUAAAUCAAAACCAAAAUUAAAGAUGACUCCUUGUCUGCCAACUGUCAUUAAACAAAGCCAUCACUCACGUGAAAAAAAAAAGUGAUAUAUUCAUUUUAACGUAAUUUCAUACCAACAUAUCAUUCUUUUUUUUCCAAUAAUGACCUCUUUAAUUAUAAAAUAUGGUAAAAGGGGAUGGGUUCGAGGUAUGGCGUCCGGGCCUUUGUGACAACGGUAUCUUUGGACGUGGGUGUCGUUAGAUUUUUGGCUAUUUUCUGGUCAAUCAAACUGGUGGAUCACAUGCAUUUUAAUGACCUCUUUAAUUAUAAAAUAUGGUAAAAGGGGAUGGGUUUAAGGAAUGGCGUCCAGGCCUUUGUGACAAAGUUGGAUGUGGGUGUCAUUAGACUUUUGGCUAUUCUGCUCAAUCAAACUCGUGGAUUACAUGCACUCAACGCGGACAUUAUGGAAAUGGGAGAAAAUUAUGUUAGUAAUAGCAUCUUCAAAAGUUUCUAUACAUUUUACUCUUUAAAUAUUUAUUUACUUAUUUAUAUGAUAAAUAGAAAGGUAAAAAAAUAUAUUAUUCUCCAAAAAACUCUUCAAAUAAAAAUAAGUUAAUAUUAUUUUAAUCAAAUAAUUAUUUUUUAAAGGAAAAGUUAACAGCAAUUAAAGCACUUCUCUUUCUCUCUCUAAUAAAAAGUAAUAAAAUAUUAAUUGAAGUGUUUUUUAGAACCUUAAAUGUUGAUGUGACUCUUCAAAUAAGUAAUAAAAUCUUAAUUGAAGAGCCUUUUGGUGAUGGUUUAAAACCCACUGUUUCGUUCUAAACUAAGUGAAUUUAUCUCGUGAGCUAAGUAGUUUAGGAGAUAACUCAAAUAAUUAACUUUUUAUUAGUUUAAUAAUAAGAAUUUUCGAUUAUAUUUUAAAAGUAUAAUUCAUUACAAAAAAUUACUUAAUAAAAAUAACUGUUAUUUAACAUAUUACAUUUUUUCAAUAAUAAAAUAAUUCAAAUUUUUAAUUAUUAUAACAAAAAAAUUUGUAAUAUAAUCCAUUCAUAUACCACAUCACGUAAAAUGUAACCUAGUACUACAUGUAAUCUUGUUACUACUAUUCCUAUAAUAUUCUACCACAUCAUAUACUAUCAAAUUCCAUCCGGCAUGCCAAAUGUGCAAAGUUUGAGUAAGACUUGUUAAAGUUGAGUAACAUCUUAUAUGGCCAAGCGCAUUGAGUAUGGAUUUGCAUGAUCGAGUGAGUACAACUAAAGUCGGGUAGAGUCUGGAAAAUCCCUAUAAUGUUGAGGUUGGAGAACUAUACUUUUUAAGGUACAUAAUUAAACAAUUUUGGUAAAUAUUUACUAUUAUAACUUAAAAAUUAAUUUGAUUUGAUCUCAUAUAUUAUUAUAAUAAAAAAACUUAUAAUAUCUUUAUUAAUUUUAUUAAAAAUUAUUAUUUAGAAGUCAUAUAUUUAUUACACAUUGUCAAAUUUCAGCUUUUUGUUUUUAACAACAGCUAGUAAUAUCAAACAAGACCUAAGUUGAGUAUGAUCAAUUAAUUAAAAUUAUGAUUUUUUUUUGUAUAAAAUAAUCAUUAGAUAAUUAGUCUGUAAAGAAUAUCGGCUACUUCAAAUGGAAACUUGCGAUAAAAAAUGCAUCACAAAAGUAACAAUGACACACUAUAUAAGAAAUCUGAAAUAGAAUUUGCAAAAUUGAACUGAGUUACGGAGAGUAAAUAAGACUCCAAAGGAACAUGGCAAUUAUUAUUAUCUAGGAAACAAUUCAUAGCUAAAACAAAAUUAACUAUACUUGCCAGGAAAUAUGGCGAAUUCCACCACCUCCUACAAGUUCUUAGGUGUCUUAGAGUUUGAUGACGACUUCCAUGCUGUGUCUCUUCGACAGGCAGCAAAAUUGGGCAAUUGACUACAUUAACUCCAAGAAAUUUAUGCAGUCACCUUCCUCCGGACUAUCCUCUUUCUUUGAGCUUUGGUUGCCCCUAUUUCCCCUUCAAUAGAGUCAUCACUGUUUUGUUUGAAGCCAAGGAGCCCAAGAUCAGAAAAAUGGCAUUCUUUGGUAUCAAUCCCUCGAUCCCCAAGUCACGUCACUAACUUUCUGUUGAUCGCGUAGCUAGUUCAUGUAUGCCACAGCAGCGGAAGGUAGCCUGAAGAAGAAAAAACCUCUCUCUCUUUCUUGCUCAGUAACCACCUGGGCACUUUUGUGCUGAGCCAUGACAUCCUGAGAUGGCCUGUUGUGUAAGCCUUCUUCAAAAGGUCAUCUGUCGAUCUUUCUCCUAAUUAGACAUCCAAAACCCAGCAUGGAAUCCAUUUGAGAAGGUGGACAAUAGACAAACUCCAACGCAUACAGACAGUAAAGAAGAAUUUAGACCGCAAUCACUGUGGCUGAAUAAAUGGGCCUAUUAAGCCUAUUAAAAGUUGGAACCAUAUUCACCACUCGCAGUUCCUUAGAGAACUUUAUCAGAAUUCUGAAAAUUUAAAACUAUUCUUACAUAUUUAACUGUAAAACAAGAGAAAUUGUACUUCCGUAGCAAAGUCUCACUAUUGGUAAGUAUCUGGACUUGGAAAGGAUGCUAGUUGAUUAAGUAAAGGAAAAUUGAAAUCAGACUUUGAGGUGAUAGAUCUAUAUACACUUUAAUCGGAACCACAUUAACAUCAUAUGAGCCAAACAAACAAAUUCCCCAGUCAAAGUUCAACAAACAAAACAUUAAAACAAGAGUAAUUUGGUGUAUCAAUGUAUAUAUAGAGAUGUCGAUCAUUGACAAAUACGUAAAAGAGGGAGGGAGAGACCUCAAAGCCGUGCUUAACAACAUUGCUACUCCAAUAACUUCAAAAUGGUUGGCGACGUCUCUAUCAAAGCCACACAAUAGCUGAUAUCUCAUGUUUGCAUGUAGUCCAAUGAAAGCACCAUAACCAAGAACAUUAGUACUCACAGAUGGGUUUGUCACAGAUAACCUGUCAGGCAAUAAAAAUUGCCCAAAUUAAACAAAUGUUAGACCGGCUUAGACAGUAAACGGAACAAUAUUCUAAUUUUACUUUAUUUAUAACGAAUAAGUGAACAAAGGAAUGAAAAGGAAGUUUGGCAACAGUCUUUUUACCAGCCAGAUAGUUUGACAAAGAAUCUUGCACUGCUCCUGCAGCUAAUCCCACCAUACACAACUCUGCAGUCUUGUUUGGGAGUCAAAAUUCUCAAAAUGGGUAACUCUGUUCAAAUAUACUGUUUGGGAACUUUUGUAAUGUAUUUUGCAAGUCAAACAGGAAGGUAUUUCCAUAAGAAGGUUCACUUCACAUGCUCAACAAUUCAAAUUUGCGGAUGAUAUUUCUCAAAAUGGAGGGCUCUAUUUGGCUUGCCAACAAUCUUCCUCACCAUUAUCAUCCUUGCUAUACCGGUUAAACUGAACAGUCUUCAUUCUGACAUUUGCCCUAUUAACCUGAGUACACAAGAAUCCGAAACAACUGUUAGAAAUUAUAAUCUUUAUAUAUAGCCAAAAUGUUGAAUAAGAUGAUGUACUUGAUAAUAAAUACCUGAGUUAAUAAAUAAUUAAGGGGCCGGUAACAAUGUCAGCAUCUUAUCAAGUGGGGAAAGCCUACGCAACGAAGAUGCUGCCUGCUUUCAAGAAAUAAUAACUUUCCAAUUCCAUAAGGUAGGUUAAUGCCCUUUUAAAAAUAUCUCCACCAGCCUAACAAUUAUUCAUUGAAAUGUGUGAGUGUGAAUUCGAACGAAUUAAUCAAAUAUGAUGACACGAGAAAGAAAAUUAAAAUAACCACAAGAAGUAGAAAUAUACUUUUGUUAUAUUUAGUGCAUCUUCUGUGUGUGCUCAAACGCAAUGCCUCAAGGCGCAAGAUAAUUUUAUGACCAUCAAUCUUUUGCAGCCAUAUGCAGACUUGAAACAUUGGCGGUGGUUCUAAGGAACUUGAAAAUUAGAAAAGUUUCAAAAUGAGUGACUAAAUAUGAUAAUCGAAAUUAAUUAAAUAUACACGCCUUGUAAAUAUGAAACUAAAUUACUCAAAUGUAUGUGCCUCUUCGCAGCAAUUGCUCGUGGUGGAAACUUUACUGCAAAGACUUCCUCAAACCCUUGAAGAUCACACUCUUCCUGGCAACAAAGAAACAGAGUCGAUAUACGAAGAUGAUUUUACUAACAAGUGAGAGCUUGCAAAUAUUGGAAGGAUAACGAUUGCUCAUAACCCAAAUCCCCAAUACCCUCUAAUAUCUCACUCGAGUGAGUUCAAGCCCCCAAAAUUCACUACAGUGAAACUCUCGAAACAAAAUUCUCUUCAAAUAUUCUCAACUCAAAUUUGAUAAUGAUAUCUCUUGAAGGAAGGCAAAAAAUCUAACACUGAUCAAAUUGGCUUGUGAACAAUUAAUGUUCCUGGCCAUCAUUCAUACUAGGUGUGGCGAACAAUUAAGCUGCUUAGUAUCCUGAACCUGAUAACUUACACAAACAAAAACAACUUGCCUAAAGUUUAAUAUUUAGAGGCAGAACGGUAAAGAAGAAGAUAUAUAUUGAUACUAAAAUUUGACUUGCGUUACCCUGAUGUCAAGAAUAGCGGGAUCUCAUGUGGGCAAAAUCUUCGCAAUACGAGAUGCUUGCAAAAUUGAAGCAGCAUCUUAUCACCUGUAAUUUAAUUAAGAUAAUAACUUUCCCCGACUAUUUCAAUGCAUUAUUGGCAACUAAAUUCAGAGGGCGCUAAUUAAAUACCCUUUUAACAAUAUCUUCUUAUUCUUCUCUAAUCUAGCAGUUAUUUGGAAAAUCUAAAUGACAGUCAUGCAUCAAUGGCGUCAAAAUUUGGCUACAAAGCAGCCUACAAAAGGCUUCACCCUCUGAAUGAGAGCAUGAAUUCGAAUAAUAUGAUGAAUGAAGAAACAAAGGCAUAAUACCACAAGAAGUCAAACUUUUCCCCAGAGCUCUGUUUCUGUUUGUGCUAAAGCAAAUGGAAACCAGUGGAAAUGAAUUUCUAUGAACUAGACAUAUCAGCCAAAACAGGUACUCUGUGCAAGCAAAGUAAAAAAGAGUUACAAACAAAUUUAAGAUUGAUAUGAUAAUUAAAAUUUCAGUCACCAUAUAAUUAAUAGAAAACUUUGUACACAAUGAUUUAUUGCAUAUUAAGAUUGUAUACCUAAAUUUUAAUUGCUAUGCAAAAUAUGAUAUUAGCAUUAGGAGACCGCACCAAAACGUACCGUAUUGAAUGUGCCUUUUCACAACCAUUGUACAAGCUUUGAAGCUUUGGCACAAAUGCUUUUUCAAACCCAUGAACAUGAUGCACCCGAGAGAUGCAAGAUAUGAAAUUGUUACAACAGCAGGCAUUGAAACAUUUGUUAAGAAAGGAAGUUUAUGAAAAUACGCCUUAACAUUCAUUAGAUACAUGUCUUCAGGAAUCAAUUCAUCUGUAAUAACAAUUUUCAAAGAGCAUUAACUGCUUUAAGCCCCUCAACAUCACAGAGAUCUUCAAUUAAAAUAGCGCAGAUCCGGCCAUCACUAUUACUUCUACUGCUCUUUCGCUUUAGAGAACGCUUGAAUUACAGAAUGCAUGUAAGGCUUUCUUGUUUAAGGUCCAGCAAACCUUGCACAAUAACAACAGAGGCAGUGGUUCCAUUGCCAGCCUAAUCCUUGGUCUCACCAAUGUUCUGCACGAGUAGGAAAUCAACCUUAAAAUUAAGAAUGAGUUGCAAAAACUGUUUAUGGCCCUAAAGAACUUGAAAAUCGGAAAUGAUUAAGAAUGAGUGAGUAAACAUUUUAAUCGAAUAAACAUACAAAACUUGAAAACCUAACAUUGAAGUACUCUGAAUGAAUGUGCAAUUGCACGAGCUGGUGACAACUGACUUUACUGCAAAGGCUCUUUCAAACCCUUGGAGAUGAUAAAAAUAAAAAUGCAAUGCUUGAGCUUGAGCUUGAGCUUGUUUUAACAUCAUCAUAGUAGGGAAUUUUGAUAUAUCUUUACUUCUCUGUGGUUCAAUCAUUUACUUCUCUGUUCUUGUUUAUUCACAACAAGAUAUCAAUAGAAGAAGAUGGAAAUGAAAUUCUAUAAAAUAAAGCAAGUGAAUUACCAGCAGAACAUUUUAGCAAUCCUUUGGCUAAACUUUUCAUUUUCUUAGCAUACUCUCCUGCCUGCAUCAUUAAAACCAAAUUAGAUUGGACCUGUGAAUUGCUAGUGUGGUUCUGACAUUUCCUCGAAUCCCUGGUGAACAUAAUUAAACGCGUAUGAAAUAAAACAAAGUGGGCUAAUGUACUACUAAAAACAAUUACACAAUUACUUUAAAGAAUUAAUGUCACAUAAAUUAUAUAUAAAAAAAUAAGAUUAUCAUUAUACAAGAUAAAAUUGAUAAUUUAUUUUUCAACAUUACUGCAAAUGUAUUACAGAGAUUUUGUCUCUCAGGAAGUUACACAUAACAAAUUUUCGUACAUUAAAAAAUAAAUUACAUUGGGAUUUUCUAUGAUGUUGUAUGCAAUUUUACAAAAGAGCACAUAUUUUUUAAAAGUAAAUAAAUAUAGAAAUUUAAACAGACUACACUUGUAUUUUUUUAUUAUUUAAUCUUUAGAAAACAAGUUUAACAGAAUUGAUAACUAGGAAGUUUUACAUAUUAUUUCAUUGCAAGCAACAACGAAGUAAAUCAGAGGAGGAGGAGAAAUUACCGGCGAGUGAUAUCUUACGGCUACCACGUGAUGUGGGGAAUGUGAGAUAUCUUCUCCUUUCCCCUCUCUAUGACGGUUUUCCAAAAGGGGACAUCCCCAAAUUGUCAAUUUCUGCAGCGUCGUCGUUCGAAGGAGGUAAUCCGGCAGCACCUUUAAUUUGGGGCAAUCCCCAAUUAGCAGGGAAGAAAGACGUGGUAUGUCUGUUGUCCUGCGAUCUUCUAGAAUGGGCAGUUCUUCCAAAUUUUUACAAGAAUAAAUACUCAGUUCCUGCAGCGUCGUCGUCCGAAGAAGGUAAUCCGGCAGCACCUUUAAUUUGGGGCAAUGCUCAAUUUCCAAGGAAGAAAGACGUGGCAUGAUGGAGAUGUUUUCCUUCCUCGUAAUCCUGUAAUUCCACUCUUCCAAUUCAUCCAAGAACCAAAUUUUGAGAGAUUUCAAUUUGGGGAAGGCAAUAACUGAUGAUGACGAUGAAGAUGAAGAUGAGUCGUCCUCACCGCUUUCUUUUAUUCCCAAAAACUCAUUACCCACUCUUUUUACACUUUUCAAAUUGCAUAGGAUGAGUUUUUCCGGAGGCAAUUUUCCCAAAGGAGGCAAAUGCUCACAGUUAAAACACAAGGAAAGAUAUAAAUUCCUUAGAUUGGUUAGUAAAGUCAACCAUUUGGGAAAAAUGACGCCUCCAUAGGAUUCAAUCCCUAAUUCCUCUACAUUCAAAGGCGGUUGUAAGGCUUCAAGAAGUUGUUUAUCUUUCUCGUUCUUCCUCCUCCCUUCUUCGCCUUCCCCAUCUACGACUCCACCAAACACAAGACGCAAACGAAGGAGGUUUUUCUUAUUGUAAAGUUGUAACCUCUCAACCUCAUCUACAUGCGAUACAUUACUCAGCCCUUCUAUACUACAUUUACCACGGAGUUGAAGAUUUUUCAGAGAUUCAAGCCUACAUGUGCUGCCGCCAUCAACACCUCCACCCACAACAAACUUUUCUAAUGUUCGAAGGCUGGUCAAUCUGGAAAUCCCUAUUGGAAACUCCUCAUGUUCUUUAACUUCCCAAUCCCGGCUGGCAAUUCUCUAAGAUAUUUGCACCGCCUAAUAUCUAGCUUUUGUAAAUUAUAUAAUUCACACAAAGUCUCAGGUAGUCUCGCUAUAUAUAAUUUAGACAACUUAAGAUAUUAAGAUAUUUUAAAUGUAUCAAUUUUCCAACAUUAUUUGGAAUUUCUGUAAUCCAAUUUGUGCCUUCAUACAAAAGCUUGAUCGAUUGCCUUAUAACUAAUGCCCUUAAACAUGCCAAUUUAUUAAAUAACUCCCGAAGGAUGCUAUUAUUAAGAGACGGAUUGAAAAAACCUUCAUCAUAAAUUAAUAGGGUACGCAAUCUAUUAAGUCCAUAAAUGGUCAUAGGAAAUGAAGCUCCUCCUCCAAAAUUUAACCGUAAGUGACGGACUUUGUCACCAAAAAAUUUUAUGACUGAUUCCUUGGUACCAUUAAUUUCUAGCCACAAACAUUCUUUGCUACUUACAAAUUGGGCAAAAUCAUGUACUAUGUCAUGCAUCUUACAACUCGUGAAAUCAUCAUCGUCCUCAUAUAUUUUAAACUCUUGAAAGAAAGAGUGUGUUGCUAAGAUGUUGAAAUACUCUUCUCCAAUCAUCUCCAUUUCUUCGUCUUCUUCUGCAUUAAGGUAACCUUGAGCCAUCCACAGAUCAAUCAACUCCUCUUUAUCCAUCACGUAGUCUUUUGGAAAGACAGCACAAUAUGAGAAACACCGUUUUACCAUAGAAUUGGAGGGCAAAUCGUUAUAACUCAACAACAAAGGAGCCAAAAGACCUUGCCCAAUCUCUUCUACUUUCCACAUUUCACUCUCUAAAAUUCUUUGCCACUCUUUUACUGUACUUUUAGAGCGCAAGAGAUUCCCUAUUACCUUUGCAGCAAGAGGCAGGCCUUUGCACUUACAUGCAAUUUUUCGCCCGAUUGGUUCUAAUUUUUCACAAUCCUCAAAAGAACGACCGAAAAAUGCUAACUGCUUGAACAAUGACCAGCAUUCCUCUUCAACCAAUUGCUUGAUGGAGAUAAUAUUUGUUGAUCCCAUCAUACGUGCAACUAACUCAUUACGUGUGGUAACCAAAAUUUUACUUCCGUGGAGACCAUUUUUUAGACAACGGAAGAAUGGUUGCCAUUUAUUGUAAUCCCCAUCCCAUACAUCAUCUAAGACAAGAAAAUUUUUUUUUCCUUUAAUUGAACUCUGGAUACGGCUCAUAAGAGAUUGGAAUUCGUUUAAACCAGAAGCUGACUUCCCUAGACCUUCAAUGAUUGCUUUGGCAAUCCUAAUCUGAUCAAAAGUGUCCGAUACACACACCCAUAUAACUUUUUCAAAAUUUCUUUUCACCUCAUCAUUAUUAUAGGCUAGUUGUGCAAGAGUGGUUUUACCUAUACCCCCUAACCCAACCAGUGAAAUGACCUGAAGGCCAUUUUGUUGUUCACUACUUUCACACAACAACUUGCUUAAGAGCUCACUUUUCUCAUCAACCCUACCGCAAACCUCUCCCUCAUCAAUCAAGGACGUGGUUCGCACUCUCUCUGGUUUCUUAACAUUGUUACUCACAUUCUCAACUAAUUUGAAACUAUCUUUUUGUCUGGCAAUAUCAUCUAGCUUUUCACUGAUUUCUCUAAUCUUGACAGCAAUAUCAUGACGAAGACUGAGUUGUUUGAAACCACCAAAGCAGUUUGAGGCAGCAGGAAAGAAGAAACAUACCUUCGUCAAAAAAGUAACAAAAGCACCGUCGUUAUCAUCAUAAUCAUCAUCGCCUCCCUCAUCAAGCUGCAAUUUCCGUGUUUCAGUGAUCCACUCUUCCAACACAUCUUCCAUGUCGUAGGAUGCGUCUCUGAGCUGAUCCAGCCAAAAAGUAACAGCUUUGUCCUGCUUCAUUUGCCUCUGCUCUGCAUCUUCCAGCACAGCUUGAAUGGCUUGAAGAUUGGUGGUAAGCUUUCCCACUUCUUGUUCGACACCCGUCACAAGCCUCCACUUUUCUUUCACCUGAUCUUGAGCAAUGGAUUUCAGCUGGUCCAGGAGAGGGGAAACGAUCGCAUGAGCCAUUCUGAUAUUAGAUCAAAUGGUAAAUGCUGCAAUUGCUUUUCUUUCUAAACUGCUCAGAGGAAAGUAGCUUUUAUGUAUUCUGUGAGAAU
Molecule: long non-coding RNA, 30340 nt
Filed under: Citrus maxima (pomelo)
Lineage: Eukaryota; Viridiplantae; Streptophyta; Magnoliopsida; Sapindales; Rutaceae
Description: long non-coding RNA (CMAX_LNC003743)
Source: RNAcentral